This 214-nucleotide non-coding RNA is filed under the name Psychrobacillus sp. Its description in RNAcentral is "T-box sequence". It matches the Rfam family "T-box leader". From Rfam's summary of the family: Uncharged tRNA acts as the effector for transcription antitermination of genes in the T-box leader family. T-boxes are found upstream of many aminoacyl-tRNA synthetase genes and some amino acid biosynthetic genes usually in Gram-positive bacteria. The record is from RNAcentral. Lineage: Bacteria; Bacillati; Bacillota; Bacilli; Caryophanales; Bacillaceae.
UUUUAAGCGAAGAAGAGGACAUGAAUUAUUCUUUCAUUUCUUAUCAGAGAACAGGGUCAUUGGCUGAGAACCCUGAAGAAAGAAGAAUGAUUUACCACCUUGGAGCUAUUAUGGAGAAAGUAAAACCAUAAUCGGGAAACCGUUAUCUUCUAUGAGCGCAAUACUUUUUGUGUUGCAAAAUUAGGGUGGAACCACGACCACACUCGUCCCUUUA